GCUUUUGGUUCAGUGGUAGAAUGCUGGCCUGCCAUGCGGGCGCCCCGGGUUCGAUUCCGGGCAGAUGCA
RNAcentral lists this transfer RNA (69 nucleotides) under Cordylochernes scorpioides. RNAcentral's name for it is "tRNA-Gly". It matches the Rfam family "tRNA". Rfam says of the family: Transfer RNA (tRNA) molecules are approximately 80 nucleotides in length. Their secondary structure includes four short double-helical elements and three loops (D, anti-codon, and T loops). Further hydrogen bonds mediate the characteristic L-shaped molecular structure. tRNAs have two regions of fundamental functional importance: the anti-codon, which is responsible for specific mRNA codon recognition, and the 3' end, to which the tRNAs corresponding amino acid is attached (by aminoacyl-tRNA synthetases). tRNAs cope with the degeneracy of the genetic code in two manners: having more than one tRNA (with a specific anti-codon) for a particular amino acid; and 'wobble' base-pairing, i.e. permitting non-standard base-pairing at the 3rd anti-codon position. The record is from RNAcentral. Lineage: Eukaryota; Metazoa; Arthropoda; Arachnida; Pseudoscorpiones; Chernetidae.